AGUUCCUUUAUCCAAAAGCUUUCCCGAACCUGUCGCUGGGCAUCACUCCAGUGAAUAUUCUGUUCAAUCACUAGAAUUUGCAUGCGGUUAAAGUCAUCAGGUUUGUGACCCGACUGUCUGAAGUGCUGAAAAACUGGUCAGGUUUGUGACCCGACUGUCUGAAGUGCUGAGAAACUGCCAGUUUCUCAGCACUUCAGACAGUCGGGUCACAAACCUGAUGACUUUAACCGCAUGAAAAUUCUAGUGAUUGAACAGAAUAUUCACUGGAGUGAUGCCCAGCGACAGGUUCGGGAAAGCUUUUGGAUAAAGGAACUU
This 315-nucleotide small RNA is filed under the name Mytilus galloprovincialis (Mediterranean mussel). The record is from RNAcentral. Lineage: Eukaryota; Metazoa; Mollusca; Bivalvia; Mytilida; Mytilidae.